AUGGUGCGGCUUAGGUCAACUAAUACGAAUAAGAUACAGUUCACUCAACGAUUGCCCUUGGGUCCCGAACUCCAUAUGGGGAAGGAACGUUGUUGUUUGCGAGGUCUCGAUCAUUUACAUGGACCCACUUCUCAUUCCAUUUGUGGGAAUUUGAUGAUUUAUAAACCGUCCCCAACGAGCGAAAGGUUCAUGUUUGAACAUGAUGAAUCACUUCGUGGCGACCUGUUUCCCAUAAACUUUCCUGCCUCAUAUGAGAAUGGAAAACUGGAAGAUUUUCUGCAUCGGUGGAUGAAGAAUCACGAACAUAAGAAUUUCUGGUUUAGCAUGUUCCCAGAAAGAAGAUACUUUUUUUUCCAUUCGAGAAACGAGGAGCACGACUGA
This 381-nucleotide ribosomal RNA is filed under the name Triticum aestivum (bread wheat). Its description in RNAcentral is "partial small subunit ribosomal RNA". The record is from RNAcentral. Lineage: Eukaryota; Viridiplantae; Streptophyta; Magnoliopsida; Poales; Poaceae.